GAUGAAGAACGUAGCGAAAUGCGAUACGUAAUGUGAAUUGCAGAAUUCAGUGAAUCAUCGAGUCUUUGAACGCACAUUGCGCCCCCUGGUAUUCCGGGGGGCAUGCCUGUCCGAGCGUCAUUGCUGCCCUCAAGCCCGGCUUGUGUGUUGGGUCUCGUCCCCCUUCCCGGGGGGACGGGCCCGAAAGGCAGCGGCGGCACCGUGUCCGGUCCUCGAGCGUAUGGGGCUUUGUCACCCGCUCUGUAGGCCCGGCCGGCGCUUGCCGAUCAACCAAAACUUUUUUCCAGGUUGACCUCGGAUCAGGUAGGGAUACCCGCUGAACUUAAGCAUAUCAAUAGCGGAGGA
This 345-nucleotide unclassified non-coding RNA is filed under the name soil metagenome. Its description in RNAcentral is "partial contains 5.8S ribosomal RNA, internal transcribed spacer 2, and large subunit ribosomal RNA". The stretch from base 1 to 120 matches the Rfam family "5.8S ribosomal RNA", at positions 35 to 154 of the family's 154-position model. The record is from RNAcentral.